AGGAGAAGGAAAGGCUAAAAAUAAAUAAAGCUCUAAUCAUUGGCCGUAAAAUGUACAUAUACAUACCAUCAGUAUUUUUUUCCUACAAUUAGUCAGUUAUUCUGAAGGUGGAAUCAAUUUUAAAAAAAGCUUUAAGCUGUUCUGCAAAGUAUACCUCUGCUGCAGUCCAGAAAUUCUUCUAUUCAGGGCACACGCAGGCGCAGUUAGUUUCUGAGGUGCCCUGUACAUGCGCACAACGUCGAAAGCUUUCCCCAGCAUAUAGACGUCACGUGACCUGAAAGGAAUUGCUGACCUCGCUGCCCCUGCCUGUUCUAGCUCAAGCGCCAGUAGGAUUACUGCUGUCCCGUUGCCAUGGAGACGCCCCGAAGUUAAGAUAAGUUUGGAAGCUACUGCGCUCCUCAGGAGCAGUACACAGAGAUAUCAGCUGCAUUCAGGUCUGUCAGACAGUCGUCUGUACGAACACAGCAUUCAAUUUACAAACUGACGUAGUGGGGUCAAAUUCUGGCGAGAGCACAGUAGCAUUACAGUGGAGGAAGGGAAGUGACGUGCACAGAGGAAUAUGGCGGCGGCAAACUUUUAAAUAGUGGGGAUUUUUCAACUAAUACUGUGUGAGAAUGAGAUCCCUUGCUGGAUACAUGUACAGUAUAGUGAAGUGUCCUGUGUGUUUUAUAGCGAAGAGCAGGCCUGGAGACUGGAGCGAUUUCAUGUCUGGUCCUUGCAAGAAUUCUUAUCGUCACAUCAUUAAUCAAUAUCUGGGAAGAACCCAAACUACCUGAAGAAAAAACAUCCAGUAACGGAGAGAACACAGAAAUUACUUGC
Xenopus laevis (African clawed frog) is the source of this 819-nucleotide long non-coding RNA. RefSeq lists it as uncharacterized. NCBI's taxonomy places the organism in Eukaryota, Metazoa, Chordata, Amphibia, Anura, Pipidae. The record is from RefSeq and is a predicted model, not a curated record. The transcript is spliced from 3 exons.